CCUUAGAGUUUGAUCCUGGCUCAGGAUGAACGCUGGCGGCGUGCCUAAUACAUGCAAGUCGAACGAAUCUCUUUUAGAGAUGAGUGGCGAACGGGUGAGUAAUACAUAGGUAACCUGCCCCUGUGCGGGGGAUAACAGGAGGAAACUCCUGCUAAUACCGCAUAGCCAUGAGCACCGCAUGGAGCUCAUGCCAAAUAUCCUUUCGGGGACAGCGCAGGGAUGGACCUAUGGCGCAUUAGCUAGUUGGCGGGGCAACGGCCCACCAAGGCAACGAUGCGUAGCCGGCCUGAGAGGGCGGACGGCCACAUUGGGACUGAGACACGGCCCAGACUCCUACGGGAGGCAGCAGUAGGGAAUUUUCGGCAAUGGGGGAAACCCUGACCGAGCAACGCCGCGUGAGCGAAGAAGGCCUUCGGGUCGUAAAGCUCUGUUGUAAAGGAAGAACGGCGCAUACAGGAAAUGGUAUGCGAGUGACGGUACUUUACCAGAAAGCCACGGCUAACUACGUGCCAGCAGCCGCGGUAAUACGUAGGUGGCGAGCGUUAUCCGGAAUCAUUGGGCGUAAAGAGGGAGCAGGCGGCCGCAAGGGUCUGUGGUGAAAGACCGAAGCUAAACUUCGGUAAGCCAUGGAAACCGGGCGGCUAGAGUGCGGAAGAGGAUCGUGGAAUUCCAUGUGUAGCGGUGAAAUGCGUAGAUAUAUGGAGGAACACCAGUGGCGAAGGCGACGGUCUGGGCCGCAACUGACGCUCAUUCCCGAAAGCGUGGGGAGCAAAUAGGAUUAGAUACCCUAGUAGUCCACGCCGUAAACGAUGGUCACUAAGUGUCGGGGGUCAAACCCCGGUGCUGCAGUCAACGCAAUAAGUGACCCGCCUGAGUAGUACGUUCGCAAGAAUGAAACUCAAAGGA
RNAcentral lists this ribosomal RNA (906 nucleotides) under uncultured bacterium. Its description in RNAcentral is "bacterial SSU rRNA". It matches the Rfam family "Bacterial small subunit ribosomal RNA", at positions 1 to 908 of the family's 1533-position model. The record is from RNAcentral.